RNAcentral lists this ribosomal RNA (450 nucleotides) under uncultured bacterium. Its description in RNAcentral is "bacterial SSU rRNA". It matches the Rfam family "Bacterial small subunit ribosomal RNA", at positions 8 to 448 of the family's 1533-position model. The record is from RNAcentral.
AGAGUUUGAUCCUGGCUCAGAGCGAACGCUGGCGGCGUGCUUAACACAUGCAAGUCGAACGCGCAGCAUUCUGUAGCAAUACAGGGUGUGGGCGCGUGGCGAACGGGUGCGUAACACGUGGAUAACCUUCCUUCAGGUGGGGAAUAACCCAGUGAAAAUUGGGCUAAUACCGCAUAACAUGACGAUGGCACAUGCUGUUGUCUUCAAAGGCGCAAGUCGCCAGAAGAGGGAUCCGCGGCCGAUUAGCUUGUUGGCGAGGUAAUGGCUCACCAAGGCAUUGAUCGGUAGCCGGACUGAGAGGUUGGCCGGCCACACUGGAACUGAGACACGGUCCAGACUCCUACGGGAGGCAGCAGUGGGGAAUCUUGCACAAUGGACGAAAGUCUGAUGCAGCAACGCCGCGUGGGGGAUGAAGCUUCUCGGAGUGUAAACCCCUUUCGACCCGGAAGA